This 505-nucleotide ribosomal RNA is filed under the name uncultured Bacillaceae bacterium. RNAcentral describes it as "partial 16S ribosomal RNA". The record is from RNAcentral. Lineage: Bacteria; Bacillati; Bacillota; Bacilli; Caryophanales; Bacillaceae.
CACGUAGUUAGCCGUGGCUUUCUGGUUAGGUACCGUCAAGGUACCGGCAGUUACUCCGAUACUUGUUCUUCCCUAACAACAGAGUUUUACGAUCCGAAAACCUUCAUCACUCACGCGGCGCUGCUCCGUCAGACUUUCGUCCAUUGCGGAAGAUUCCCUACUGCUGCCUCCCGUAGGAGUCUGGGCCGUGUCUCAGUCCCAGUGUGGCCGAUCACCCUCUCAGGUCGGCUACGCAUCGUUGCCUUGGUGAGCCAUUACCUCACCAACUAGCUAAUGCGCCGCGGGCCCAUCUGUAAGUGAUAGCGUAAACCAUCUUUUAGCUUCCUAACAUGUGUUAGAAAGAAUUAUCCGGUAUUAGCUCACGUUUCCGCGAGUUAUCCCAGUCUUACAGGCAGGUUGCCCACGUGUUACUCACCCGUCCGCCGCUAAUAUCAGGGAGCAAGCUCCCAUCAAUUCGCUCGACUUGCAUGUAUUAGGCACGCCGCCAGCCGUUCGUCCUGAGCCA